Molecule: long non-coding RNA, 672 nt
Organism: Musa acuminata AAA Group (dessert banana)
Lineage: Eukaryota; Viridiplantae; Streptophyta; Magnoliopsida; Zingiberales; Musaceae
Exons: 3
Source: RefSeq, a predicted model, not a curated record
UCCUAUAAUGAAAGGUUGGAACUUGUAGGUAUCAAACAAGACAGAGGAAAGAAACUCAAAUAUCUUAAAGAAUGUAUUUGAAGCAAAGUAGUUUGUGAAAAUAUUAUGCUUAUUAAUUAUAUGAUCAUAUGAAGAUACCAAUGCUAAAUAUUUAAUAUGAUGAUGAAUAAAUAGUUUUCUCUUGUUUAAAUCAUUUAUAUGUCCAAAAUAACAAGGAAAAAUGAAUCCUUGCAGGAGCCUUUUGACAACAUUCCGGAGGACAAAAUUCGAGAGGCUCUCAGAGUCGUGCUUGAUGCCCGAAAUCGCCCGUUGCUUAUCCAUUGCAACAGAGGAAAACAUCGAACAGGUUGUGUGGUUGGAUGCUUGAGAAAGCUGCAAAGAUGGUGCUUGUCUUCUGUGUUCGAUGAGUACCAGCAAUUUGCUGCUGCUAAAGCGAGGGUUUCGGAUCAGAGGUUGAUCGAGCUAUUCGACACUUCCAGCUUUAAGCAUUUAUUAUCACUUUGCAUUUGUAUUUGACAUGGUCGAGUUGGGCUCUCGUAGAAUCACUGCAGCAUGAUUUUGGAGAGAGAAUCCACAUUAAUGUAAUGUACCAGUAACAUAGAUUUCUGCUUAUGGUAAUUGUAAUGGAGUGUUAACGAUUAAUUGAUUUCCCGGAGGAGAUUGCAGUUUUCA